UGUGGGUGGCAAAGAGACAGACAAGACACACUACAGUGAGUCUUCCUCGCUCCAGCAUUACAGAGGGAAACAGGGAUGAAAACCAACCGGAGGAUGAUGGGGGUCGGGUGUGUUAAAAUCCAAACAUGGGACCUCAACUGUACUUAUUUACAUGUUUUUAGGAAUACCAAGUUACCUGGAAAGAUGGUUUAGAUUCUGACAAGUUUUCACUAAAUCAUACUUGGUUUGUAUUUUAAAGUCUAAAACAUGACCAGUCCUCAAACUGUAACUGAGAUCUACAUUCUGAAGAUGUGACUAUGGUCAGUUUGCUGGUCCAGUCACCUUAGCUAAUCAGACUGACCACUGAGGGAGCCUAGACACCUUGAGGGAAACAAAAAACCAAUAGAACUAUAGCCCCUCCCACUCCUCCUCCAACCAAAGUCAGAAUGCCCAUAAUUACCGCCAGGGCGUCGCCUGAUGAUGAGUUUUCUGACUUCGUCAUAUACGAAGAUGAGAAGAGAGUAGGGGAAGGCACAGAACCACCAGUCGGCCCACUGCACCACCACGAUACUGACGAAGAAGGCUGUGUGGCAGGUGAACUCCACGAUUUUCCUCUGCUCAUAGGUCUGAAAUGCAGAAGACAGAAGAUGAGCUCUGGCUCUUCACCUGCAUGGCUGGUGGCAGUGUGGCCUCAGUCUUCUGGGGCUUGAGGAGCUCUGACACUGGUCAGGUCAGAGGUGCCCACUCACCCACUGCUGCCCGUAGCUGUCUUCCACAUCGUUGAUCCAGCGGUCAUCCCAGUCCACUCGGAGGCCCAACAGGUGAAUUGGGAGGAAGCCGUUCUCAGCCAGAAUCACAAAGUGAAGUAUACAAAAAUAAAGAUUCCCAUCUGAUAAACAAAUGUUAACUGCUGCCUUGAAGAGUGGUAAUACUGAUUCUGUGAAGCCGGGAUUGGGACACACACUGGAUACUGGUCCUGAGAAUUUCUUUUCCCAACGCCAGCCUCAUGGAUGCUGGGAGCAUAGUGCCAGUGAAUGAAGACACAGCUCACACCUCACUACUAUCGAUCUGUGACUGUUGUGACACUCACCAUGUCAGUGCCCAAGUCAAUGCAGAGGAUGGUGACAGUCCCCAGUGGUAGUGGAAUGUUUGCAAUAAUAAAUAUCAGGAACGGGGUGAUCUCGGGAAUGUUA
This 1172-nucleotide long non-coding RNA is filed under the name Homo sapiens (human). Its description in RNAcentral is "HSALNT0294865". Lineage: Eukaryota; Metazoa; Chordata; Mammalia; Primates; Hominidae. The record is from RNAcentral.